RNAcentral lists this ribosomal RNA (254 nucleotides) under uncultured bacterium. RNAcentral's name for it is "partial 16S ribosomal RNA". It matches the Rfam family "Bacterial small subunit ribosomal RNA", at positions 524 to 776 of the family's 1533-position model. The record is from RNAcentral.
UACGGAGGGUGCAAGCGUUAUCCGGAAUCACUGGGUUUAAAGGGUGCGUAGGCGGUCUGAUAAGUCAGUUGUGAAAUUCCCCGGCUUAACCGGGUGGACUGCGAUUGAUACUGUUGGACUUGAAUCAGGUUGAGGUAGGCGGAAUGUGACAUGUAGCGGUGAAAUGCUUAGAUAUGUCAUAGAACACCGAUUGCGAAGGCAGCUUGCUGGGCUUCGAUUGACGCUGAGGCACGAAAGCGUGGGGAGCAAACAGG